Molecule: long non-coding RNA, 346 nt
Organism: Urocitellus parryii (Arctic ground squirrel)
Lineage: Eukaryota; Metazoa; Chordata; Mammalia; Rodentia; Sciuridae
Source: RefSeq, a predicted model, not a curated record
UUUAACCCUGCUAGGAACCAAGGCGUACCCUUCUUGGCUCAGGUUAAAAAGGCAGCUUUAUGAGGCCCCAAGAAUGCACCUGAUGGGCUCCCUUCAUUUUUAUGGCACAGAAAAGCUCUCCAGAUGUCUCUUCUUCUACUAGUACUACUUCUUCUUCCUCCUCCUCUUCAACUGAAUUGGACUGGCAAGAACUCAAUAAACAGGUGCAACUAACAAAUGGGGCACUGGUUUAAUCAACUUCAUAAGACAGUUUGGUUGUCUGAGCAAACAUCUGAAAAAAGAACCACAAGUGUCUCAGAAGAGGUAGUGACUAAAGAUGCCUUCAUUAUCCAAAAGGAAAUCCAGC